This 440-nucleotide ribosomal RNA is filed under the name uncultured bacterium. RNAcentral's name for it is "partial 16S ribosomal RNA". It matches the Rfam family "Bacterial small subunit ribosomal RNA", at positions 338 to 795 of the family's 1533-position model. The record is from RNAcentral.
CCUACGGGAGGCAGCAGUGGGGGAUAUUGCACAAUGGGGGGAACCCUGAUGCAGCGACGCCGCGUGGGUGAAGGAGUGCUUCGGCAUGUAAAGCCCUAUCGGCAGGGAAGAAGCAAGACGGUACCUGACUAAGAAGCCCCGGCUAACUACGUGCCAGCAGCCGCGGUAAUACGUAGGGGGCGAGCGUUAUCCGGAUUCACGGGGUGUAAAGGGAGCGUAGACGGCCAUGCAAGCCAGGGGUGAAAGCCCGGGGCCCAACCCCGGGACUGCCCUUGGAACUGCAUGGCUGGGUGGCGGGAGGGGCAGGCGGAAUUCCUGGUGUAGCGGUGAAAUGCGUAGAUAUCAGGAGGAACACCGGCGGCGAAGGCGGCCUGCGGGACCGCGACUGACGUUGAGGCUCGAGAGCGUGGGGAGCGAACAGGAUUAGAUACCUAGUAGUC